Molecule: long non-coding RNA, 1612 nt
Filed under: Homo sapiens (human)
Lineage: Eukaryota; Metazoa; Chordata; Mammalia; Primates; Hominidae
Description: HSALNT0056404
Source: RNAcentral
UCUUUGGUCACAGGGCUGCAGCACUGCAAUCCCAGCAUGCACCAGGCUCAGGGAGAGUGCGCUAAUCACUGGAGGAAGGGACGAGGUUCCGCGCAUCUCGCUGGUCUUGCUGGGAGAUGCAGUCUCAUAAACACUCCCAGCCCUUUGGUCACAGGGCUGCAGCACUACAAUCCUAGAAUGCACCGGGCUCCGGGAAAGUGCGCGUCACUGGAGGACGAGGCAGGGCUGUGCGCGCCUCCCUAGGAUUGUUGGAAGAUGCACUCUCAUAAACACUCCCAACCCUUGGGUCAAAGGGCUACAGGACUACAAUCCCAGCAUGCACCAGGCUCCAGGGCGAGGGGCAACCCUGGAAGAAGGGGCAGAGUGGUACCCGCCCCACCUAAUAUGCUGGGAGCUGUAGUCCGUUAACUACUCUCAGCCUGUUUGUCGGUAAGCUUCAGAGCUAUAAUCCCAGCAUGUACCAGGAUCCGGGGUCCAUAGCCCUGGAGGGAGGGGCAGAGCGGUGUGGACUUCCCGGUGUCCGAAGCGCUGCUGAGUUCUGAUGCUCUGCCGACUCUUUGCAAGGAGAGUGAGUACAGAGGUGCACCUGGAGGGCAGGUCUGGGCUGAGCAUUGAGGAGGGUAUUACCCUACGAAGAUACCUUACCUUUUCCCAAAUCGGGCGGGUUGUCCUCACCUGCUUGGCCCUAUCCUUCUCAGGUUCCUCUUUCAGUUGCACCCAGGGUUCUUUCCAGAGCAGUACAUCUUUUGCAGCCCAGGGCGCUGCCUUCUUUCCCAAACUGCGUGAAAAAUUUCCUGAUGUCCAAGACACUGUCCAUAGUGCCGCAGCCCUCUUUUUUCUCUAGCCAGAGCACGCACUCAAUCGUUUUUGAGAGAAAUCUUCCACCUGGCCUGCUUGUGAGCAGCUUCAGAGCUCUGCAGGGGUGACAAGGGCUGUGGCUUCCUGGAAAGGUCACUUUCAAUGGCGCCUUUUUCACGAAUGUGAAAGUCUAGGCAUCAGAAAGGUUAAUUAUUGGGUUGCAUAAAAUCUGCUAAGAGCAAAGGAAAAACCCCAUUUCCGAGGCGUGAGUCUUGUGAGCCAUUUUCAUCAACCCAUUUAAGUGGACCAGCUCCAAAAUGCAACCUGAAGCUACUAUUUAGGCAUUUUACACUUGAAAUCAUUGGUCUCAUCUCAAGUCAGGCCUGGCUUGCCAGUGGCUCAGAGCCACAAAUGGGACCUGAUACCUCAGGAACAGAUAGUGUUCCAGCUUUACGGGAGCAACUUUUAAGAUGUGGAGCACUUGGGGUCAUUUGAAACCCGCUAUCUUCAGUAGGGACUUUUACUUCUACAGAGCAUGUGCAUUUUGAUUUUAUCUGUCCUCAAGCUGACCUUUGUUCAUUUUAAUAGUAAAAAACACAUUCCUGGGUGGAGAUUUAAGAUGCUAGUGAGGCAUGCAAUGUAUGCACAAAUAUGUACAGCUACUGCACAUGUGCACCCAGAAGACCACUCAGAACAGGCUUACUAGCAGCUCCUCUUCCCCCCUCCUUACUAAUAAUAAUGUAAAACUCCCAUAAGGGGGUUUCUCCAGCGACAAUCCACGCUGUCUCACUCUUAUGAGCAGCCCGCCCUGGAA